AGUGAACGCUGGCGGUAGGCCUAACACAUGCAAGUCGAACGGCUGCACAGUAAGAGCUUGCUCUUACGGGUGGCGAGUGGCGGACGGGUGAGGAAUACAUCGGAAUCUACUUUUUCGUGGGGGAUAACGUAGGGAAACUUACGCUAAUACCGCAUACGACCUACGGGUGAAAGCAGGGGAUCUUCGGACCUUGCGCGAUUGAAUGAGCCGAUGUCGGAUUAGCUAGUUGGCGGGGUAAAGGCCCACCAAGGCGACGAUCCGUAGCUGGUCUGAGAGGAUGACAACCCAACGGGGAACUGAACCAGGGCACAGACCCCGCGGGGAGGAAGCGGGGGGGAUUAUGGGAAAUGGGGCGAAAGCCUGACCGAGCAAUCCCGGGGGGGGGAAGAGGGCUUUGGGUUUGUAAGCCCUUUUUGUGGGGAAAAAAAAGCAGCGGUUUAAACCCCGGCUGUUGGGCCGGUACCAAAAAAAAAAGCCCCGGCUAAUUUGGUC
This 492-nucleotide ribosomal RNA is filed under the name uncultured bacterium. RNAcentral describes it as "partial 16S ribosomal RNA". It matches the Rfam family "Bacterial small subunit ribosomal RNA", at positions 30 to 507 of the family's 1533-position model. The record is from RNAcentral.